GCUUACUGAUGAUUGGGAAAGGCUUUGUGAAAUGAAAGUCCAUUAUUUCCAAAUUUGGAAAUGCCUUUAUAGGACAACUGUGAGGGCCAAAAGCUUCAAGCUCUUCAGGGAUCAGGAGAGAUGGAGUAGAUGUGACUUGGAAAGCAAUGGCCUAAAAGACAGAUUGCCAUUUCCUGGCUGGCUGCUGACCUGAUACUCACCCACGGUGUUGCGGUAAGGCAGA
This 223-nucleotide long non-coding RNA is filed under the name Homo sapiens (human). RNAcentral's name for it is "non-protein coding lnc-EXTL3-1:1". The record is from RNAcentral. Lineage: Eukaryota; Metazoa; Chordata; Mammalia; Primates; Hominidae.